GGCGUGGCUCAAUGGUAGAGCAUGUAUUUUUUGCCUACAGAAGAUCUCAGGUUCAAUUUCUGGCAUCUCCU
RNAcentral lists this transfer RNA (71 nucleotides) under Sphaerodactylus townsendi. RNAcentral describes it as "tRNA-Lys". The record is from RNAcentral. Lineage: Eukaryota; Metazoa; Chordata; Lepidosauria; Squamata; Sphaerodactylidae.